UUUGUUGGAUACAUGGCUCAUCAAAUGGCCACGUCUGUGUCAGCUUUGGCAGCAGAUAAUACCUCAUUUAAUGCGGAGGAGAGAGAGAGAGAGGAGAAGAUGAGACGUGUGAAAUGGCUCCAAACAUAGACCAUUUCUCACGCCACUCAACGGCUUAGUAAAAUGGCCCAAGGUGGUUGCUGACACGUUUCCUAAGGCAGCUCAAGAGCCUUACAAAUAAAGGUAAUCUCUUUUCAUCUUAUAACACUAAUGACUAGAGGGUACCAAAUAAGUUAGGAAUAAGUUUCUAGAGUAAUCUCUACUGGUUGGUGAGGGAUUAAUGAGUUCUUUGAGGGCUAAGAUUAAAUAUUUAUAUUUUGAGUUCUAAGGAAUGUUCUUCUAUACUUUUACUAUAUUUAGUGGAACUUUUCAUUACCCAUAGAUGUAAAAAGUCAACCUCUAAAUCACGUAAAUUUUUUAUGUCUCGGAUUAUGAGUUAUUCAUUUCAUUUUUGUAUUCUAGCUUAUAUGCUAAGUACAUAUUAGGAUUUUAUUUUAAGUACAUAUAAGGUAUAUCUUCUCAUUUGUCACAUCAGUCAAAGCUUGUCUCCCUCUCAUCUCAUUCUAUAACGGUGACCCUCCCACAACAUCUCUAUUGUCUUGUUCAUCGCAAUGGUUGACACUAGAUCACCUAUGUAAGGGUGGCCUACUCAACCCCUUUACAAGGGAGGUCCAUGUGAGCCUUUUCUCACCUUUUGGGCUAUCAAUUAUGAAUGUUUUAUGGUUAAAAAACGGCCUAGUCCCUCUUUUGUAAUCUACACUUAAAAAGUGGAGCUUGAGGAAAGAGAAAAACAAAGAGGAAGAUAGAUAAAUCAAAAGCAUGGAAAACCCUUUUUCCUCUCUAGCGGCUGAAGAUAGGAUCUGGACUCCACCCCUUCUCUCUCUCAACCGAUGGCUGGAUUUAUGGCUUCAUUAACUCUAUUUUUGUUGUACCUUGGUCCUCAGACAUUGGAUAUUUUUCUUUCUCCUCAUUCACUACUGCUCAUGAACUGUGUUUAUCUUUUUUAGACCACAAUAAUCAAGAUCUACAUUAUUAUACCCCAUUCUACAUUCUCUAUCAUUUAUCACCUAGUGGACUUGCUCUACUCGUGCUCUCUCAUUUUUACUGUGUUGACAGACCAUUUAUAAGUCUACUAAGAUCUCAAUUCACUCUCUGUACCCCAACAUCUCAGAUUCACGGGCUGACCUGCUUUCCAUCAGAUCUCCUCCGAACCUACCCCCAGAGCAGGAUAGAGAGGCCAUCGAUGGUGGUAGUGCUGGCGCACACGAACUCCGCGAAGUAGACUUGGAGAUCGUUGCCGAGGAAGGGAAGGCUUCCGAGCA
This 1361-nucleotide long non-coding RNA is filed under the name Spirodela polyrhiza (greater duckweed). RNAcentral describes it as "long non-coding RNA (SPOL_LNC000549)". Lineage: Eukaryota; Viridiplantae; Streptophyta; Magnoliopsida; Alismatales; Araceae. The record is from RNAcentral.